This 392-nucleotide ribosomal RNA is filed under the name uncultured bacterium. RNAcentral describes it as "partial 16S ribosomal RNA". It matches the Rfam family "Bacterial small subunit ribosomal RNA", at positions 523 to 918 of the family's 1533-position model. The record is from RNAcentral.
AUACGGAGGAUCCGAGCGUUAUCCGGAUUUAUUGGGUUUAAAGGGUGCGCAGGCGGCCAUUUAAGUCAGCGGUUAAAUCGUGGGGCUCAACCCCAUUCUGCCGUUGAUACUGGGUGGCUUGAUUGCGGUCGAGGUUGGCGGAAUUCGUUGUGUAGCGGUGAAAUGCAUAGAUAUGACGAAGAACACCGAUUGCGUAGGCAGCUGACCAGAUCGCAAAUGACGCUCAUGCACGAAAGUGCGGGGAUCGAACAGGAUUAGAUACCCUGGUAGUCCGCACAGUAAACGAUGAAUACUUGCUUUCGGCGAUAUAAUGUCGGAGGCAAAGCGAAAGCGAUAAGUAUUCCACCUGGGGAGUACGCCGGCAACGGUGAAACUCAAAUGAAUUGACGGGG